GGCGGUUCUUGACGCACUGAGGUUCCUGAUUGACGCAGGCCUAGUUGCUAAUUUUAGCCGCUGCCUGUCCGACGGAGGCAGGGUGAGACUGCAGAGAGCCCAUUCAUUGUACCGGGGCGGGACCGACUAUUUUAACGCCGCGAUUGUGAUCCUGCCAAGCCAAAUAUAGUCGUAGACAGGUAUUUUUAGGCACAGAGUGUGUCCCCGUUCUCUCAUCUGGCAAAGCGCGGCGUAUAUUGUAGCGUCUGAAAUGAGCCGCGGCUCUGAAAGUGUAAAGCUGUUUUUCGGCUGGAUAGUUUUACAGUCAGCUGAUAGCAGCCAUACCCCGGAGAGAGGGAGAGGGAGAGAGGGACUGACGGGGGUAAAUCCCAGUAACCCCACAGGUUUCCCCUCACUCCGGGGGAAAGGGUGGAAAAGAGCGUAGAUCCGAAGAUAAAUAGCCGGCAAGUCUUCACACAGACACAGUCAACAGACGCUUGAAAAUAACCACAUUACAGAGCACCAGCUGCACUUCAGCUUUCUGAGCCUCGUCUGAAGGGGUAAAAAAAAGAAGAUAAAUAAGUUUACCAUUAGGUAAUUGUCUGCAGCACUCGUCUGGAGCGAGGAACAAACCUGACCACUUAGGUAUCCCAGGAAUCCACUGCAUCAUCACAUUCUGCUCCGAUAACGCUGGAACUGCCCGAUUCCUAUCGCUGUGGAUGUUGCAGCUGUCUUCUUCUCUAAGAUCCCAACAAACCCACACCUCACCCUGAAGCUGCCUGAAGAUUAUGGAUUGAGGAAGGGGCCAUUAUCCAUUCAUUCUGACAUGCCUGGGCUCAAAUCAAAUGUCUGCAAGCCCUGAAGUGGUUAUCCUGAUGACUGCCGGAGCAUUAAGAGGGAACUCCCUACUGGGAGACGCAGCAGGUUUCUGCUUUUGGGCGUCCCUCACUUGGUCAUCAAACGCGGAUCAAUUUCAGCCGCAUGUCCAUCCAUUUCAUGCUCUACCAACCAGGACUGAGAUCAGGGAGUUUUUAAUGAUGGACAGAGAAACAUUGAUUCUCAAGAAACUACUUAUAGUUCUAUGUUUUACCCUCCGGUGACAGCCUGCUCAGAAAACUGGAGAAAUUUGCCCACAAGUGCCUUCCUUCGUUCCUUCCUACAACUACCCAUCCAUUCAUCCAACCUGUCUACAAAGGCCUGUCAUAACAAAUGAAGAUCCAACACGAUCGAUGAAGAACAGCUCAUAGAAAACUGUUCAACCCAUCAUAUAAACAUGGUAAGAAAAUGCCCUCCACUCAAACUGGCCAACAUUCUACAGCUCAGGUGGGAGAAUCUGUUGAUUAAAAUCAUAAAUUUCCUCCUGCAUAUCACCUUGAUCCACACUGUGAGACAUGGUAGUGGCAGCAUCAUGCAGCUGUGUUAACCUCUGUCUGUCUUCAGUGGGGCUGAAAACAACCACACGCUUCACUUUUCAUUUUUUUACAGCAAAGAAAAAAUCAAAAAUCAAAAUCCAUGCUUCCUUUUCCUUUCUCUUCCCACAUUUACAACUUUAUGUUGGUUUUACACAAAACAAUUUUAACAAAAUGCAAGUUCAUGGUUGUAACAAUAAGAAGCAUGGAAAAGAGUAAGAAAAGCUUUCCUCACUGCUCGACCGCUGAAGGAAACAGCAAGUUGACGGGUGUAGAUGCUGCCAGGAGGAGUUAGAAACUACAGGUUGCAGCAACAGAGGCGGCAACAGUUCUCCACACUCUGCCUGUGCUUGUUUUACUCCUGAUCUCUGAGGGGACAGCUCUGCAGCGGCUGCUUCAUAUUUAAUUGUUUUCGUUGAAUUAUUCUGGCUCACUGCCGUGUUGUGCCACCGUGAAUUGGACCACGGAGUCCGUCAGCGCAUCUCAGUGUGUGUGUGUUUUCUGUGCGGACGACAGGGAGAGGGAUGCCACGAACAAUGGGAGCUUCGCGGAAAGCAGGGGCAUAGCAACAGGAUGAAUUAGUGAACAGGCAUGAAAUGCUACGUUUAACACAAAGCUCAGGAGCUUUGUGGCAGCUGGAGGUUUCAUAUUCAACACGGAUAGCCUGGUGAUGCAGGUUGGACCAAAAACACCCCAACAGCUGCAAAAUAAGAAACUAUGAAGAGUCCACUUAUCUGGAAGGUUUAUACUGAUAAAUAAAAUAACAUUUUUGAUCAUGUCACUUCAGAAAUAAAUUAUAGAGGACUCUUAAAGUUCAACAUGGCUGUAGAAACAGUUUAUGCUGCGCAAUGUUCAGUAAUAAUCAUUUUUAAGAGUCACACAUAGUGUAAAAGUGGAACUACCUUUCCUGAGUGAUGACAGUUUUAUACUGUAGUUACUAAAUGCUGACUCAGGACAGGUUGGUAAAAUGGUCUGCAGCGCCCCCCUCAGGACAGACAAGACAGGCAGAGGCAACAUGCAGAUGAACCAACAUGAAUAUUGCAACCAGCACUUUAAAUGUACAUUAAAGCACAAUAAUGUCAGUGUGGGGGACAUCUGAUGAGAUUUACAUACCAGGCCAUUUUUAGAUGAAUAAAGAGAAAUAUACAAACUAAUUGUGGCACAGCCUGUUGUUACACACCAUGUCCAUACCAGCACACAAAGCUCAAAUCACCUCAAACUGGUUUCUUGAACAUGAAAACAUGAAUUCACUGAACUUCAGUGGACUCCACAGUCACCAGAUCUUAUUCUCCCUUUUCACCACAUGUUAAGUACCUUUAACAUGUGGUGAAAAGGGAGAUUCACAUGGGUGUUCAGAUGACAAAUAUGCAUCACCUGCAUGACGUGAUCACAUAAAUAUGGACACAGAUCUCUGGGAAUUGUUUUUAAAUCCUUGCUGAAUCAAUGCUAUGAUGAACUGAGGCAGUUCUGAAGGUAGACAGAGCUCCAACUCGGUACUAUCAAAUUGUACCUAAUAACUUGGUACAACUUAAUAGUUGUGUCUGAACCAAAGGUAUGCAUGGCUAGAAGGUGAAUUUUAUGAUAAUUUAAGCAAAAAGCAAAUUUU
This is a long non-coding RNA of Xiphophorus couchianus (Monterrey platyfish), 2994 nucleotides long. RefSeq lists it as uncharacterized. The record is from RefSeq and is a predicted model, not a curated record. The transcript is spliced from 8 exons. Lineage: Eukaryota; Metazoa; Chordata; Actinopteri; Cyprinodontiformes; Poeciliidae.